UCCAUAGUUGUCUCCCUCAGCAGUUGGCAAAACGACAAAAUUUUCAACACGUCAAAUCAUCUUCACAGCGUGAUAGAUGGAGAAAUACGUGAAAACCACAAAACCACCCCAUAAACGCUCCAUCUUCCCAAAAUGUGCCUCACUAUUCUUCACUUCAGCAAACGACAACAAACGUCGCUAGAUGGAAAGCAAAUUAACGCGUCUUCUUCCUUCUCAUCUGCCCACUCGUAAGAUUUUCAACAGCGGUGGUAGCAUGCGGAUUGGUCCUUCUAGCAUGAGAUCGAUCCACCUCGCCCCCAUGGACGAUUGAAUCGAACAAAACAAUCUAUCCCCUUUCCCUUUCGGUCUGAGUUGAUUUUUAAGAAAAAAGGAUACUCAUCCAAAAUGGGAAAGAGUUUUGAAAUUCGAAUUGGUAAUGGGCCUUUUCCCAGCCGAAAUUUGAUCUGUUUCCCCCAAAUCCGAGCCCUAAUCUCUUGGUAUAUGUAAUCCUUUUCUUUUACUGUGGGAAGGGAAAAGCGAUAUCAAAAAAUUUUGGAACCUUUAUUUUUUGGGAAAAUAAAUCUUUUAGGAAGAAUAGCUUAUGAAGGUAGUCUUGAAAAAAAAGAUAUAUAUUCGAAAAGGAAUAGGGAGACUCUUGUUUGCUGCUUCGUGAUUGUGUGGUGAAGCUCGUUGGUGUCUUUCAAAGCUCAUUUUUUGGCUCGUUGUCUCAGUAUUCUGCACUCGAAAAGGUAAACCCUUCUAUUCUAAUAAUAUUUAUCUUUUUCAUAUUUUGUCUUUGAGGUGAGACUCUUAUGUUGCGUGUUUAGUGUCGGUCGUGAAUUUUGUGUGAGGGUAUUCUAUUCUUCCUAUUAGAGUAAUCUUUCUUUAGUUUUCAUUUUCCUUUGAAUCUUGACAGGGAAUGAGGGGUCUUAUGCUAGUGAAGUUACUAUUUUGUACAUUAUGAAUUUUUCUACUCGAAAUCUCUGAUUUGUUUUGAUUCUUUGAGAUCAGUUGAGUUCUGUCCCUUUUGCUAAAAAAUAGUUUGGAGCUACACGUGGUUUAGUUUCGAAGCAUGUUAAUUGUGAUGUUCUAUUUCUCUUUUCUCUUGUUUAUCAUUUUCUAUUUUUCCUAUUUGUUUUCGUAGACUUCUAGCUCUUCAAAGGGUGUCUUGCUUCAGUCAUUCGAGUGUUUUUUCUCCUCGAGUUCAAAUGAAGAAGUAUGAUCAUCAUUUACCACGCAUCGUGCUCUCCCUUUAUUUUCUUUAUUUUUUAUGUGGUCACUUAUUAUUCAUUUUUCCUAAUGAAAGUUGAUCUCAAGGUGAUUGUUCUCUUUUUGGAUCUAAUUGUCUUCAUACAUGCAUGUAGCUGGGAAUUUCCUCAUGUCUUUUGAUGGCCUAAUCUAAAAUUUGUCAAUUUUUGUCACCUAUUUUUUUCCUUAGUCAUUAAAUAAGGAGGCCAACUUUCCUUUCGCUAGCAGUGGAUCAUUUUUUUACCUUAAAGAUCAUCAAAAGUGAAUAUAGCCAUAGUUUAGAAUUUCAUUCUUUAAAAGCAUAGUUCCGGAUUUGCUCAUAUAUGUUUCCCUUCCUUCCUUUAUUUAUUUUAUGAUUCUUUUCUAAUAUCGCUUGGUUUGGUUUUGAUAUGGCCGCUUAAUAGAAUCUAUAAAUCACAAUUGCUAGUGUAGUUUUCUUUCAUUUCGUAUUCAUUUUUGAUUUGGUGCAUUUCCUCAUAUCUUUGGUUUCGUUGUGUUGUCCUGUGAUGUUAAUCCUAUUUGCUCUCCAAAGUACCCAGAUAUUUGUCAAACAUUUUAUUUUAUUUUUUUAUUUAUUUGAAAGUUUUUUCUAGUAUGUUAUUUGUUAGUCAAAAUAUGAUAAGCCCCCUUUAUUCCAUUUAGUUUAUAAUUAUUCUUCACGUAGAGCACAUGUUUCCCACAGUAAUGGAAUAGGCCUCUUUCCAUUUAUGUGUCAUGGCUUCUUUCUUUAAAUUUUGGAUCAAAAUGUGGCUUGGCCAUGAGGUCAUUAUUGUUUCGGUUUAGAUAAGGUCAUUGAGAUUGCGUUUAAGGUUGGAAAGUUGGUCAUGUGGUACUCUUCAUUCAAAGAGCAUGUCAAGUACAUUUGUGCAUAUUGUGCAAUUCCAAUAAGCCGUUUAUUUAUUCAUCAAUGCCAUUUACUUUUAUUUAUUUUAUUUUAUUUUUAUUUUUUUAGUCGUCUUCUGAUUGAUUUAUAGUUCAUUGAGGUCUUAUUCAAUUAUCCUACAAAAAUCUAAUCAUUAUUACUAUUUUGUUUACAUGUAAAAUCCGCCUGAGUUCGCUGAGAACUCAUUUUCCCUUUGCAUUUCGGAUAGACCAUAAAGUCCUAAAUACAUUUUGUUUUAUCUCGAGUCGGCCAAUUAAAAGGCGAUGAACAAGAUUUGGAGUUGAAAUGGGAAUUUCCGAAUAGGUACAAAUCGAAUGGACCUAAGGCCCCCAAAACAAUAAUGGGUCGAAAUACUACUUCAGGUGGACAGAAAUUGGAUUUGGACCCAAUUCUCUCUCCCUCCCUCUUUUACUCUAUUUUUUAUUAUUUUGUUGUAAUUUGUCGUUAGUCUUAGGGUUAGAAAACUCGACCCCCCCCUUCAAGACCGCGCUAUGAUUUAAUUGUUUAAACUUAA
Long non-coding RNA from Solanum pennellii, 2624 nucleotides. RefSeq lists it as uncharacterized. Lineage: Eukaryota; Viridiplantae; Streptophyta; Magnoliopsida; Solanales; Solanaceae. The record is from RefSeq and is a predicted model, not a curated record. The transcript is spliced from 2 exons.